GCCAGAUGCGGUGGUGCACGCCUAUAGUCCCAGCUAUUCAGGAGGCUGAGGUGGGAGCACUGCUUAGACCAGGAGUUCUUGGCUGUAAUAUGCAUGCCAGUCAGGUGUCUGCACUAUGUUUGGCAUCAGUAUGGUGACCUCCUGGGAGCAUGGGGACACCAGGUUGCCUAAGGAGGGGUGAACUGUCCCAGGCUGGAAAUGAAGCAGGUAAAAACUGCUGUGCUGAUCAGCAGUGGGAUUGUGCCUGUGAAUAGUCACCUCACUCCAGCCUGGGCAAUACAGUGAGACCCUGUCUCUU
Molecule: non-coding RNA, 298 nt
Organism: Homo sapiens (human)
Lineage: Eukaryota; Metazoa; Chordata; Mammalia; Primates; Hominidae
Rfam family: Metazoan signal recognition particle RNA
About the family: The signal recognition particle (SRP) is a universally conserved ribonucleoprotein.
Source: Rfam